GUGUGCGUACGUAUUCGCUCGCAACGGGUACAGAGUUUGAUCCUGGCUCAGAUUGAACGCUGGCGGCAUGCUUACACAUGCAAGUCGAACGGCAGCACGGGUGCUUGCACCUGGUGGCGAGUGGCGAACGGGUGAGUAAUACAUCGGAACAUGUCCUGUAGUGGGGGAUAGCCCGGCGAAAGCCGGAUUAAUACCGCAUACGAUCCACGGAUGAAAGCGGGGGACCUUCGGGCCUCGCGCUAUAGGGUUGGCCGAUGGCUGAUUAGCUAGUUGGUGGGGUAAAGGCCUACCAAGGCGACGAUCAGUAGCUGGUCUGAGAGGACGACCAGCCACACUGGGACUGAGACACGGCCCAGACUCCUACGGGAGGCAGCAGUGGGGAAUUUUGGACAAUGGGCGAAAGCCUGAUCCAGCAAUGCCGCGUGUGUGAAGAAGGCCUUCGGGUUGUAAAGCACUUUUGUCCGGAAAGAAAUCCUUGGCUCUAAUACAGAAAAAGAGAUGACGGUACCGGAAGAAUAAGCACCGGCUAACUACGUGCCAGCAGCCGCGGUAAUACGUAGGGUGCAAGCGUUAAUCGGAAUUACUGGGCGUAAAGCGUGCGCAGGCGGUUUGCUAAGACCGAUGUGAAAUCCCCGGGCUCAACCUGGGAACUGCAUUGGUGACUGGCAGGCUAGAGUAUGGCAGAGGGGGGUAGAAUUCCACGUGUAGCAGUGAAAUGCGUAGAGAUGUGGAGGAAUACCGAUGGCGAAGGCAGCCCCCUGGGCCAAUACUGACGCUCAUGCACGAAAGCGUGGGGAGCAGAAGGAUUAGAUACCCUGGUAGUCCACGCCCUAAUAGUAAUUCAUAGUUGUUGGGGAUUCAUUUCCUUAGUAACGUAGCUAACGCGUGAAGUGACCGCCUGGGAGACGCACUUGU
This 915-nucleotide ribosomal RNA is filed under the name Burkholderia sp. Its description in RNAcentral is "bacterial SSU rRNA". It matches the Rfam family "Bacterial small subunit ribosomal RNA", at positions 1 to 889 of the family's 1533-position model. Lineage: Bacteria; Pseudomonadati; Pseudomonadota; Betaproteobacteria; Burkholderiales; Burkholderiaceae. The record is from RNAcentral.